RNAcentral lists this ribosomal RNA (1453 nucleotides) under uncultured Bordetella sp. Its description in RNAcentral is "partial 16S-23S ribosomal RNA intergenic spacer". It matches the Rfam family "Bacterial small subunit ribosomal RNA". Lineage: Bacteria; Pseudomonadati; Pseudomonadota; Betaproteobacteria; Burkholderiales; Alcaligenaceae. The record is from RNAcentral.
GGUUUGAUCCUGGCUCAGAUUGAACGCUGGCGGGAUGCUUCGCCACAAGUCGAACAGCAGCACGGACUUCGGUCUGGUGGCGGGUGGCGAACGGGUGAGUAAUGUAUCGGAACGUGCCUAGUAGCGGGGAGAUAACUGGCGUAGCUAAUACCGCAUACGCCCUUCGGGGAAAGCGGGGGACCUUCGGGCCUCGCACUAUUAGAGCGGCCGAUAUCGGAUUAGCUAGUUGGUGGGGUAACGGCUCACAAAACGACGAUCGUAGCUGGUUUGAGAGGACGACCAGCCGCACUGGGACUGAGACACGGCCCAGACUCCUGCAGGAGGCAGCGAGCAGAACACCUGGACAAUGGGGAAACCUGAUCCAGCCGCCGUGCGAUGAAGGCCUUCGGGUUGUCAGCACUGGCGGGAAAGAAACGGCACGGGACCGUGCAGCCGUGACCACCGAGAGUAAGCACCGGCUAACUACGUGCCAGCAACCGCGGUAAUGGGGUGCAAGCGUUAAUCGGAAUUACUGGGCGUAAAGCGUGCGCAGGCGGUUCGGAAAGAAAGAUGUAAGAAAUCUGAGCUUAACUUUGGAACUGGCCCCCAACCUGAGCCGGUGUGUCAGAGGGAGGUGGGGAAUUCCGCGCGUCAGCAGUGAAAUGCGUAGAUAUGCGGAGGAAUUUACCGAUGGCGAAGGCAGCCUCCUGGGAUAACACUGACAGCUCAUGCACGAAAGCGUGGGAGCAAACAGGAUUAGAUACCCUGGUAGUCACCUAAACGAUGUCAACUAACGCUGUUGGAGACCGGGCCUUGGUAAGCUUCCAACUAACGCGUGAAGUUGACCGCCUGGGAAGCCUGAUCGCAGAUUAAACUCAAAGGGAUGGCCGAGAGGGACCCGCACAAGCAGUGGAUGAUGUGGAUUAAUUCGAUGCAACGCGAAAAACCUUACCUACCCUUGACAUGUCUGGAAUCCCGAAGAGAUUUGGGAGUGCUCGCAAGAGAACCGGAACACAGAGUGCUGCAUGGCUGUCCGUCAGCUCGUGUCGUGAGAUGUUGGGUUAAGUCCGCAGCAGGCGCAACCCCUUGUCAUUAGUUGCUACGAAAGGGAGCACUCUAAUGAGACUGCACGACGACCAAACCGGAGGAAGGUGGGGAUGACGUCAAGUCCUCGUGGCCCUUGCGGAGUAGGGCUUCACACGUCAUACAAUGGUCGGGACAGAGAGUCGCCAACCGCGAGGGAGCCAAUCCCAGGAAACCGAUCGUAGUCCGGAUCGCAGUCUGCAACUCGACUGCGUGAAGUCGGAAUCGCUAGUAAUCGCGGAUCAGCAUGUCGCGGUGAAUACGUUCCGGGUCUUGUACACACCGCCCGUCACACCUUGAAUUGGGAUUUUACCAGAAGUAGUUAGCCUAACCCGUAAGGAGGGCGAUUACCACGGUAAGUUCGCUGACUGGGAGUGAAGUCAUGGAGUAA